RNAcentral lists this ribosomal RNA (399 nucleotides) under Triticum aestivum (bread wheat). RNAcentral describes it as "partial small subunit ribosomal RNA". Lineage: Eukaryota; Viridiplantae; Streptophyta; Magnoliopsida; Poales; Poaceae. The record is from RNAcentral.
UACCGGUACCUCCGCAAACGUAAGGGCCUGCUACAGGUGGAAUGAGGACUAAACUCUCUAUCUUUCCACUAUUGACUUUGACUACUGGUUAAUCACUUAAGAACCGUAUUCCGGUACCUGAGUACCUAGUAAUAUUUGUGAGUAUCUCGAAGUGCACCUAAGGUACGAUGGCCGCACUUCUCCUACAGUCCCGUGCCGGUACUACUCGGUAUGAUGGAGGUGCGGUUCGUGUACAUGUUGAACGUGUCCUACUUCGUAGUCUUCGACUGACGUACCUGAAGCCACGACCCUCGGCGACACCUCUUUGGGACGUCACACUAGGUUAACAACAAACGCAAGGAGAACCGUGGACAACUGCGGAGAAAACGUGAAGCGUAGUGAAAUAUACGACAGUCUAUU